UGGGAAUUUUGGACAAUGGACGCAAGUCUGAUCCAGCCAUGCCGCGUGCGAGAAGAAGGCCUUCGGGUUGUAAACCGCUUUUGUCAGGGAAGAAACGAGUUUCUCUAAUACAGAGACUUAAUGACGGUACCUGAAGAAUAAGCACCGGCUAACUACGUGCCAGCAGCCGCGGUAAUACGUAGGGUGCAAGCGUUAAUCGGAAUUACUGGGAGUAAAGCGUGCGCAGGCGGUUAUGCAAGACAGAGGUGAAAUCCCCGGGCUCAACCUGGGAACUGCCUUUGUGACUGCAUAGCUAGAGUACGGUAGAGGGGGAUGGAAUUCCGCGUGUAGCAGUGAAAUGCGUAGAUAUGCGGAGGAACACCGAUGGCGAAGGCAAUCCCCUGGACCUGUACUGACGCUCAUGCACGAAAGCGUGGGGAGCAAACA
RNAcentral lists this ribosomal RNA (426 nucleotides) under uncultured bacterium. RNAcentral's name for it is "bacterial SSU rRNA". It matches the Rfam family "Bacterial small subunit ribosomal RNA", at positions 356 to 774 of the family's 1533-position model. The record is from RNAcentral.